UCCAAGUUCUAACGUAUUUAGUGGAUUUAGUUUGUGUUUAAUACGGAUCAAGUUUAGCAACCAUGGCGUCAUUCUACAAUAUCCUGGUCCUACUUUUGGCUUUUUUCGCCAUCACCACCCAUGGAAUGCAUACUGUGCCCGAACUUAAGGCGGAGUAUUACUCUGGAAGGUGGUAUCAAGUCUAUACGAAUGCUGUAUCGGAUUUUUUCACUGGAGUUUCGGAGCCAGAUUGUGGUACUGCAGAUUACACAUUAGUCAACUCGACAUACGUCCAGGUUUACAACGCCAACUAUCGUCUGGACGAUGAGUUCACGGAUGGACUAGGUGGCUACGCCUACAUUCCAGAUAUAUCUGUCCCAGGACGAUUAAAGGUGGUACUUGAUGGUGUACCAGUGGCGGGAGAUUACUGGGUAUUCAAGCUUGGACCAUUGGUAGAGGGCAAGUACCAGUACAGCUUGGUAACGGACGGGGAGGACGCUCGUCAACUCUACGUACUGUCCCGUGAUCCUGAGGAGUUCUACGAGCUCUACGAUCAGGAGGUCUCGGAGUACGUGGCCCUGAAUGGGUUCACGGGGCAGGUCAAGACACCCUAUACAGUACCCCACCGUCCAGAAUGCCGCUACCCUCCUAACCCACCGGAAUAGGCGAUAAUGUCCAGGGUCCUUAAGCACAAAUAGUUACGAUGUAUUUUUGUUUUAUCUCCCUAAAAUUUAUUUUCUCUUUAACUACAAACAAUCGUAACUUUUACAAUAAAAUAUGAACAAAUAAAUUAUUUCAUAAUAUCAAUAACUGUUUUUAUAGAGUGUUUUCCCACUUAAAACUUGCCAAAGAGCUUUUAAUUGCUAUUACCCCGGUCACUGUAUUCAAUUACUAUUCCGCAAAUUACGGUGCACGUUCUCCACUCCAUGAGGAGCAUUCCAGCUAUAGUCGCACUCAUACAGACGAGACGCGCAAAUGCCAGUCCAGUCACACUGACCUUUCAAUCCUACCGGGUAUACACUUAGCACCUGGGGGGGGGGGGGUGCAAUAGAAUGCCUUGUUCAAGGACACAAGCGCCGUGCCGGGGUUCGAACCCCCGACCCCGACCAAACCACUCGCCUAUGUUACGGAUAGAUACAAUGCAUGAUGGUAAAAUACAAUCAUUAUUGCA
Molecule: long non-coding RNA, 1150 nt
Organism: Strongylocentrotus purpuratus (purple sea urchin)
Lineage: Eukaryota; Metazoa; Echinodermata; Echinoidea; Camarodonta; Strongylocentrotidae
Exons: 4
Source: RefSeq, a predicted model, not a curated record